Molecule: ribosomal RNA, 460 nt
Filed under: uncultured bacterium
Lineage: Bacteria
Description: partial 16S ribosomal RNA
Rfam family: Bacterial small subunit ribosomal RNA
Source: RNAcentral
CCUACGGGAGGCUGCAGUGAGGAAUAUUGGUCAAUGGACGAGAGUCUGAACCAGCCAAGUAGCGUGAAGGAUGACUGCCCUAUGGGUUGUAAACUUCUUUUAUAAAGGAAUAAAACGAGGCACGUGUGCCUUUUUGCAUGUACUUUAUGAAUAAGGAUCGGCUAACUCCGUGCCAGCAGCCGCGGUAAUACGGAGGAUCCGAGCGUUAUCCGGAUUUAUUGGGUUUAAAGGGAGCGUAGAUGGGUUGUUAAGUCAGUUGUGAAAGUUUGCGGCUCAACCGUAAAAUUGCAAUUGAUACUGGCAGUCUUGAGUACAGUUGAGGUAGGCGGAAUUCGUGGUGUAGCGGUGAAAGGCUUAGAUAUCACGAAGAACCCCGAUGGCGAAGGCAGCUUACUAAACUGUGACUGACAUUGAGGCUCGAAAGUGUGGGUAUCAAACAGGAUUAGAUACCCGAGUAGUC